RNAcentral lists this small RNA (543 nucleotides) under Pongo abelii (Sumatran orangutan). RNAcentral describes it as "processed transcript". The record is from RNAcentral. Lineage: Eukaryota; Metazoa; Chordata; Mammalia; Primates; Hominidae.
CUGGACCUGGAUGCGCUGAGUGAGAACAAGAUCGGGGACGAGGGUGUCUCGCAGCUCUCAGCCACCUUCCCCCAGCUGAAGUCCUUGGAAACCCUCAAACAAGGGCUCGCUGUGUCACCCAGGCUAGAAUAUAGUGCUAUGAUCAUAGCUCUGCAGCCUUGAACUCCUGGCCUCAAAGAAUCUCCUCACCUCAGCUUCCCAAAGUUCUGGGAUUAUAGGUGUGACUUACCAUGCCCAGCCCCAGUGGAUUCAUCCAUUCAUUCAUUCAUUCAUUCACUCAUUCACCUAUUCAAUCAGCCAUUCAUCCUUCCGUUCAAUGAUUCAUCUAUUCACUCAUGCAGUCAUUUCCUUAUUAAUUACCCAACCAUUUGUUAAUUUAAUCAACAAAUAUUUAAGGAGGACCUACUACGUGCAGGCACCUUUCUAGGCCCUGGAGACCCAGCUUUAAACAAAACAAAUAAAUCCCCUGAUCUCAGGAAUCUUAAAUUCUAGUGAGGAGACACAAUGAACAAGUAAACAAGUCAGUAAUUAUAAAGUAUACAG